GUAGGGAAUAUUGGGCAAUGGAUGCAAGUCUGACCCAGCCAUCCCGCGUGCCGGAAGAAGGCCCUCAGGGUUGUAAACGGCUUUUGACGGUGAAGAAUCGACAGGAUGCGUCCUGUUUUGACGGUAGCCGUUGAAUAAGCACCGGCUAACUCCGUGCCAGCAGCCGCGGUAAUACGGAGGGUGCGAGCGUUGUCCGGAUUUAUUGGGUUUAAAGGGUGCGUAGGCUGGAAGGUCAGUCAGCGGUGAAAAGCUGUCGCUUAACGAUAGUCUUGCCGCAGAUACUUCCUUUCUUGGAUGAGGAGGAGGCCACUAGAACGGAUGGUGUAGCGGUGAAAUGCAUAGAUAUCAUCCAGAACACCGAUUGCGAAGGCAGGUGGCUGUACCUUAAUCGACGCUGAUGCACGAAAGCAUGGGGAGCAAACAGGAUUAGAAACCCGGGUAGUCC
RNAcentral lists this ribosomal RNA (445 nucleotides) under uncultured bacterium. RNAcentral's name for it is "partial 16S ribosomal RNA". It matches the Rfam family "Bacterial small subunit ribosomal RNA", at positions 354 to 796 of the family's 1533-position model. The record is from RNAcentral.